RNAcentral lists this long non-coding RNA (206 nucleotides) under Lathyrus oleraceus (garden pea). RNAcentral's name for it is "Pisum sativum (pea) long non-coding RNA (PSAT_LNC027333)". Lineage: Eukaryota; Viridiplantae; Streptophyta; Magnoliopsida; Fabales; Fabaceae. The record is from RNAcentral.
UUAGAUCAAAGGGAAAGAAAGAUACGAAGAAGAGAUAAAUAAGAGAAGUCACACCCAAAUUAGACCAAAAGUUUGAUCAAGUCAUCAUCAAAAUCAAUCAUCCAUUUUGGUGGAUUAGGGUUUUCACCCCAUCAACACCUAAGAUCCAUUGAUUUUGAUGAGACUUGACAUCCAAACCAUCAUGAUCCAAGGUCAAUAAAAGUUCA